This 848-nucleotide long non-coding RNA is filed under the name Ixodes scapularis (black-legged tick). Its description in RNAcentral is "uncharacterized LOC8052403, transcript variant X3". Lineage: Eukaryota; Metazoa; Arthropoda; Arachnida; Ixodida; Ixodidae. The record is from RNAcentral.
AACGGCGCCGGCGGCGGCGCCAUGGAGUUGGGGUGGUUAGCGUUGGUGGGGGGAGGUCCUCUCAUUUCACCGGUCGUGGGGACCGAAGAGCUCGCGAGGGGUCUUUUGAUAGCGCGUUCCAGCAGGCGGCGCUAGUCGUCAAUGGGCGCGCCGACUUUUGCGGUUGAGCUGAAAGGCGCAAGACCGACGCGCUUCCCUGAGCGUCUCCCCCACAAACACGUAACUCGGCGUUUUUUGUUUUUUUUCUCGCUCUCUCCUUCCUCUCUUCCUGACGUCGGCGUGCACGCGGGCCGGCUGAACCUGACUUGAGCCGGCGGAGUGUGCGGGCUUUGAUUCUGCCGUCUGCAGGGGCGUGCCGAGACACUGUUGUGACGCGAAGGAACCGACGAGAGCGCCUGGCUACAUCCGCUUGAGCGUGCAGGCGGCUGCUGCGACGACGACGGAACAGAAGCUACUGGGUCGUGUGCGAGUGGCGGCCUGGGUGAAGAACGCCGAGAUGCUCACGAGGAUACCGCGAUGCAGCCAGCUGGCAGACGGCUCUAGAGUGGGACACUGCUGACGAAACGUUCGAGCCGGAGUGCCGGCUUCACCAAGCCACCCUGGGGAAAGCAGCCAUUGACGUCUGGAGCGGUGAGCCGAUACACUGAGAUCACGGAUGCAGCCGUAGAGUCGCCCACCACCUGGGCGGAUUGCGAUGUCCCUUCUGCUUCUACACGGGCGACUGGGGAAAUUUAUGAAGAUCGCCCGGCUAAUCCUUGGAUUGACGACGACGGCUUCACACGGGUGCAGCAGAAACGGCGAACUCCAGCGUCAAGUGGGACGGCGAAAUCCGACAAGGUACUUGCAGC